This 500-nucleotide ribosomal RNA is filed under the name uncultured bacterium. RNAcentral describes it as "partial 16S ribosomal RNA". It matches the Rfam family "Bacterial small subunit ribosomal RNA", at positions 29 to 523 of the family's 1533-position model. The record is from RNAcentral.
AUUGAACGCUGGCGGCAUGCCUUACACAUGCAAGUCGAACGGCAGCACGGGAGCAAUCCUGGUGGCGAGUGGCGAACGGGUGAGUAAAGUAUCGGAACGUGCCCAGUCGUGGGGGAUAACGUAGCGAAAGCUACGCUAAUACCGCAUACGAUCUAUGGAUGAAAGCGGGGGACCGCAAGGCCUCGCGCGAUUGGAGCGGCCGAUAUCAGAUUAGGUAGUUGGUGGGGUAAAGGCCCACCAAGCAGACGAUCUGUAGCUGGUCUGAGAGGACGACCAGCCACACUGGGACUGAGACACGGCACAGACGCCUACGGGAGGCAGCAGUGGGGAAUUUUGGACAAUGGGCGCAAGCCUGAUCCAGCAAUGCCGCGUGCAGGAUGAAGGCCUUGGGGUUGUAAACUGCUUUUGUACGGAGCGAAAAGGCGCUCCCUAAUACUGGGGGCUCAUGACGGUACCGUAAGAAUAAGCACCGGCUAACUACGUGCCAGCCGCCGCCGUAA